CCAGUUUAGGGUGGCGCAUCUUUAUAAUCCUCCUCCUCCUGCCUUCCUCCAUUAACCAUCACCACCAUCACCGCCACUAGAUAAAUCACCACUAAAUCAAUGAAUGAGUCUCAUAUACAUUGGAGCGACAGAGGGAGGCUGAUUUUGAUUUUGAAAUGAUUUUGGUAUGGGCGAACUGGGAAAUUGGGUUUUCAUUGAAGCGUAAAGAACUGGACGAUAGGUUCAUUGAUUUUGGCCCUAUCUGGAUUUGAAUCAAGAUCCAAAUUUUGUUUUUGUAGAUGGGGAUCAACCUGAAGGAUCAAAGCCAAAGAAAUUCUCCUUCGCCCCAAAGAGGAAGGAGAUAGAAAAUGGAGAUCAACCUAACAACACAGACUUCAGAGCAGAUGCGUAAAACCAUGGAAUGCAAUAGCUUCAAAAUACCUUACACGUUUUUUUUUACUAAAAUUGCGAUGAAGCCAGAGCGCAAGUGAUGUAAUUAGAUCAAUUUUAGUGGAGAAGGCUGAAAGACAGUGCUUGUGAUGCUGAUGAAAUAAUGGAUGAAUUCUCCUGCGAAACCUCCUGUGUUUACAUCAACAACUUGAAGACUUAAAUUAUAUGUGAUUUUGCCUCUUCCUGCAAUUUCGUCUCUACAAAGUUAGAGGUUCUGGCACUGAUAUAGUUUUCUGACUGCGUUAAUGACUUCUCUGGGUUCUCUCUCAAUAGAAAAUGGUGACCGCAGGAUGGAUGUACUGGAAAAUCCUGACCAGGGGCUGGAGCUGGAUGUAUAGUAAAAUCCUGACCAGGGGGUGGAAGUGGAUGUAAAUAGCAAGCAGAGACGGAUUGGACUGCACGUGCAGGGACAUAUUAGAAUAUGGCUCUGAUUCUUUCGUGCAUGAUAGGAAAAAUGUUGGUGAUUUGGGUGAGCUAGACAAAGUGAAAAUUAGAAUAUGGCUUUGAUUCUGUUUCAUUUUGAGCACCUGGAGAACUGUUGACGCGUUUAAUGAUGUCAUUGUACUAAAAUUCAACUUCUUUGUCCCUAGCAGUUAAUGGUAAAAGAUUUAAUCAGAGAGUA
Molecule: long non-coding RNA, 1051 nt
Organism: Papaver somniferum (opium poppy)
Lineage: Eukaryota; Viridiplantae; Streptophyta; Magnoliopsida; Ranunculales; Papaveraceae
Exons: 4
Source: RefSeq, a predicted model, not a curated record